GACGAACGCUGGCGGCGUGCUUAACACAUGCAAGUCGAACGGAAAGGCCUCUUUCGGGGGGUACUCUAGUGGCGAACGGGUGAGUAACACGUGAGUAACCUGCCCUUGACUUUGUGGUAACUUCUGGGAACUGGGGCUAUUACCGGAUAUAAGCUCCUGCUGCAUGGGGGGGGUUGGAAAGUUUCGGCGGGUGGGGGUGGACUCGCGGGGUAUCAGCUUGUUGGUGGGGUAUUGGCUUACCAAGGCUUUGUCGGGUAGCCGGCCUGGGAGGGUGACCGGCCACAUUGGGACUGGGAUAAGGCCCAGACCCCUACGGGAGGCAGCAGUGGGGAAUAUUGCACAAUGGGUGGAAGCCUGAUGCAGGAACGCCGUGUGCGGGAUGACGGCCUUCGGGUUGUAAACCGCCUUCGCUCAUGACGAAGCUUUGUGUGACGGUAGUGGGUAAAGAAGCACCGGCUAACUACGUG
RNAcentral lists this ribosomal RNA (467 nucleotides) under uncultured bacterium. RNAcentral describes it as "partial 16S ribosomal RNA". It matches the Rfam family "Bacterial small subunit ribosomal RNA", at positions 28 to 507 of the family's 1533-position model. The record is from RNAcentral.